Molecule: ribosomal RNA, 305 nt
Filed under: uncultured bacterium
Lineage: Bacteria
Description: bacterial SSU rRNA
Rfam family: Bacterial small subunit ribosomal RNA
Source: RNAcentral
AAGGUCCUACGGGGCGCAGCAGUGGGGAAUAUUGCACAAUGGGGGAAACCCUGAUGCAGCGACGCCGCGUGAGCGAAGAAGUAUUUCGGUAUGUAAAGCUCUAUCAGCAGGGAAGAAAAAUGACGGUACCUGAGUAAGAAGCACCGGCUAAAUACGUGCCAGCAGCCGCGGUAAUACGUAGGGGGCAAGCGUUAUCCGGAUUUACUGGGUGUAAAGGGAGCGUAGACGGUAUGGCAAGUCUGAAGUGAAAGCCCCGGGCUCAACCUGGGAAUUGCUUUGGAAACUGUUAAACUAGAGUGCUGGAG